Molecule: non-coding RNA, 32 nt
Filed under: Mus musculus (house mouse)
Lineage: Eukaryota; Metazoa; Chordata; Mammalia; Rodentia; Muridae
Source: RNAcentral
UGAGGAGGCUCAAACUGGACAACCAGUUUGGA